RNAcentral lists this ribosomal RNA (253 nucleotides) under uncultured bacterium. RNAcentral's name for it is "partial 16S ribosomal RNA". It matches the Rfam family "Bacterial small subunit ribosomal RNA", at positions 524 to 776 of the family's 1533-position model. The record is from RNAcentral.
UACGGAGGGUGCAAGCGUUAUCCGGAUUUACUGGGUUUAAAGGGUGCGUAGGUGGAUUGGUAAGUCAGUGGUGAAAUCUCCGGGCUUAACUCGGAAACUGCCAUUGAUACUAUCAGUCUUGAAUAUUGUGGAGGUCAGCGGAAUAUGUCAUGUAGCGGUGAAAUGCUUAGAUAUGACAUAGAACACCAAUUGCGAAGGCAGCUGACUACGCAUAUAUUGACACUGAGGCACGAAAGCGUGGGGAUCAAACAGG